Molecule: ribosomal RNA, 473 nt
Filed under: Tetraplatia chuni
Lineage: Eukaryota; Metazoa; Cnidaria; Hydrozoa; Narcomedusae; Tetraplatiidae
Description: partial large subunit ribosomal RNA
Rfam family: Bacterial large subunit ribosomal RNA
Source: RNAcentral
GUUUUUUAAUUAAUAGAAAAUGUUACCUGGUAAGUAAUAAUAUUAAAACACAUGCCUUAAUCUGAGGGUAAUAAUGUAGCAUAAUUAAUUAUCGUUUAAUUGACGAAGAGUAUGAAUGGUAUAACAUUUUUAAAUUGUCUCAAUUUUAUAUAUUAUUAAAUUAAAAUAAAUGUGAAGAUACAUUUUAAAAAUUAUAAGACGAAAAGACCCUAUAAAUCUUUACUAUUAAGUUAGUUUAACUGGGACAGUUAACUCUUAUUAUAAUAGAGUAUAUUUAAUUAUUUCAAACAUGAAUUAUUUGACCACUUAUUAUAAAUAAUUAAAUAUAAGUAUAAAGAAUAAAAGAUACUUUAGGGAUAACAGCGUUAUUUUUUUAUAAAAUUUUUUAUAAAAAAGUUUACGACCUCGAUGUUGAAUUAAAAUUACCUAUAAAUAAAGUAGUUUAAAAGGUUAGUCUGUUCGACUAUUAAAAU